AGUGAACGCUGGCGGUAGGCCUAACACAUGCAAGUCGAACGGCAGCACAGUAAGAGCUUGCUCUUACGGGUGGCGAGUGGCGGACGGGUGAGGAAUACAUCGGAAUCUACUUUUUCGUGGGGGAUAACGUAGGGAAACUUACGCUAAUACCGCAUACGACCUACGGGUGAAAGCAGGGGAUCUUCGGACCUUGCGCGAUUGAAUGAGCCGAUGUCGGAUUAGCUAGUUGGCGGGGUAAAGGCCCACCAAGGCGACGAUCCGUAGCUGGUCUGAGAGGAUGAUCAGCCACACUGGAACUGAGACACGGUCCAGACUCCUACGGGAGGCAGCAGUGGGGAAUAUUGGACAAUGGACGCAAGCCUGAUCCAGCCAUACCGCGUGGGUGAAGAAGGCCUUCGGGUUGUAAAGCCCUUUUGUUGGGAAAGAAAAGCGGCAGGUUAAUACCCCGCUGUUCUGACGGUACCCAAAGAAUAAGCACCGGCUAACUUCGUG
This 492-nucleotide ribosomal RNA is filed under the name uncultured bacterium. RNAcentral's name for it is "partial 16S ribosomal RNA". It matches the Rfam family "Bacterial small subunit ribosomal RNA", at positions 29 to 507 of the family's 1533-position model. The record is from RNAcentral.